CCUACGGUGUGCAGCAGUGGGGAAUAUUGGACAAUGGGCGAAAGCCUGAUCCAGCCAUGCCGCGUGUGUGAAGAAGGCCUUCGGGUUGUAAAGCACUUUCAGUGGGGAAGAAAGCCUUGGGGCUAAUACCCUCGAGGAAGGACAUCACCCACAGAAGAAGCACCGGCUAACUCCGUGCCAGCAGCCGCGGUAAUACGGAGGGUGCGAGCGUUAAUCGGAAUUACUGGGCGUAAAGCGCGCGUAGGCGGUCUGAUAAGCCGGUUGUGAAAGCCCCGGGCUCAACCUGGGAACGGCAUCCGGAACUGUCAGGCUAGAGUGCAGGAGAGGAAGGUAGAAUUCCCGGUGUAGCGGUGAAAUGCGUAGAGAUCGGGAGGAAUACCAGUGGCGAAGGCGGCCUUCUGGACUGACACUGACGCUGAGGUGCGAAAGCGUGGGUAGCAAACAGGAUUAGAUACCCUAGUAGUC
RNAcentral lists this ribosomal RNA (465 nucleotides) under Vreelandella stevensii. RNAcentral describes it as "partial 16S ribosomal RNA". It matches the Rfam family "Bacterial small subunit ribosomal RNA", at positions 338 to 795 of the family's 1533-position model. Lineage: Bacteria; Pseudomonadati; Pseudomonadota; Gammaproteobacteria; Oceanospirillales; Halomonadaceae. The record is from RNAcentral.